Heterocephalus glaber (naked mole-rat) is the source of this 1718-nucleotide non-coding RNA. NCBI's taxonomy places the organism in Eukaryota, Metazoa, Chordata, Mammalia, Rodentia, Bathyergidae. The record is from RefSeq and is a predicted model, not a curated record.
UACAGGUGGCCAGGAACCCAGUGGGCCCGAGAAUGUGCAUUUGUACCGGGUUCCCAAGGCAUGCGGGGCCACGGGGCUGGGACCACAGAGGCUGACUGGUGGGAUCCGGGCUGAACUCGAGGGGAGGGCCUCUGCCCCCCCGGAACCCUGGGAUGGAAGCAGCAUUUUGGAGGCUGAUUCCCAAGGAGGGGGAAGAAGGACGACACCGGGCACCCACCGCGGGCCUCGGAACAAGCGCCUGAACUUCUCCCGCCCCGGGCUUCAUCCACGCCUUCGCUGGCUUGUUUCCUCCGCACUGCACUCUGGAAGGUCGGUCCCAGAGUUAACACAGAGAGGUUCUGACUUGGGCACCGUUGGACUCUCGGGCACCCAGAAGAAGCCCCGCAUUCAGUGGGCGCUCAGUAAAUAUUUGUGGGUGGAUGAAUGAGGAGAACCAGCUGGCUGGCACUUGGGGCAGGAGCCUGUCCACUUGGGGUCUCAAAUCAUUGAAUUUUGUAGAAGGUGGACUCUUGGAAGGAUGCAUGCGUUGCUUCUGAGGCCCCCUCUGGACUUGCUGCAGAAGAUGAUGGAGACUGCAGACCACCUACCCUGUGCAUCUAAACUCAAUCAUGCAGUUCUCAGAGGGAGACCCCCCUCUUAGACCCUACUUGGUCAGGGUUGCAGCCUGGUACUGGGAGUCUCAACAGCUCUUCGGGUGAUUCUACCGUGCAGCCAGGGGUUAGAAUUAAUCUAACCCAACCCCCUCACAUUACAGAAAAGGGAGAGUGUAUGCCCGGGAUAUGCAGUGGGUGUGGCAGACCCCCUGGCCAGGCUUAGAGCCGGCUCUCAUAUGGAGCAGGCAUUCUUUCCUUACAAUUGGCCACAUCGCAUUCAGAGCUGGACCAAAGCCUACGUGACUCACAGGAUCACAGGAGCACUGUGGGAUGGUGCCUCAGGCUAGUACAGCUUCCACGCCAGCGGCUGCAGCUGAGAUCUAAGUCCUGAUUUGUGAAGUUGCAGGUCUCCUAAGUGAGAUGACACUGCAGCAAGGACUAUGUGGCUCCAAUCCACAUUCCAUUCCUAGAGCUACCAUUCCUUUGUUUCAGUAGCUUAAUAGUUAACCAUGACCUACCUUUGGUCUGUUCUACUCCUUUUGCUAGAAUGCCUUACCCUCCUUGCCUACAGCUUUGCCUGUCUCAGCUGAUAUCACCAUUGCCACAUGCAGCCCCCUACCCUAUUCUUACGCAUGCUUGUGUAAUCAAUAAAUACCGACCGUGCUGGUUGCUUGGGUUCUCCCCACAUGCUUGCCGUGGCCUAUCCCAGUUCCCCACUUUCUUUUUAAGUCUUGUUUCUCUGUCUCCUUCGCUUACCGUUGUAUUGCCUUUCAGGAGAUCGAGACUCUUGGCUGGGGUCUUCAAUACAGCCAAGGUUUAGCAUUAGAUUCUAACCCACCCCUCAUGUUAUAGAGAAGGGUCAGUGCAUGCCCGGGUUAUGCAGCUGGUCAGUUGCAGGGCUGAGUCUCAAAUCCAGGUUACCCUCUUCGCUCAGAAGGCAUCUCCAUCAUCUGUUCAGGAAAUGCAUUGAGGGCUCUUGGCUUUGAGGGAAGGAAGUUCUUCCUGAAGUUACAUCUAUUCAGUGUCUCCUUUUCCUGCCCAGAGUGGAUUUAGUUUUAAUCCUUUUACACACAUGAGCAUUGAUUUCUUUUUCUUUCUUUUUUUUUUUUUUGUACUGGGGAUCAA